UACGGAAGGCAGCAGUGGGGAAUAUUGCACAAUGGGCGAAAGCCUGAUGCAGCUAUGCCGCGUGUAUGAAGAAGGCCUUAGGGUUGUAAAGUACUUUCAUCGGGGAGGAAAAAACAAAACUAAUAAUUUUAUUUCUUGACGUUACCCGAAAAAGAAGCACCGGCUAACUCCGUGCCAGCAGCCGCGGUAAUACGGAGGGUGCUAGCGUUAAUCAGAAUUACUGGGCGUAAAGAGCACGUAGGUGGUUUUUUAAGUCAGAUGUGAAAUCCCUGGGCUUAACCUAGGAACUGCAUUUUGAAACUGAAAUACUAGAGUAUCGUAGAGGGAGGUAGAAUUCUAGGUGUAGCGGUGAAAUGCGUAGAUAUCUGGAGGAAUACCUGUGGCGAAAGCGGCCUCCUAAACGAAAUCUGACACUGAGGUGCGAAAGCGUGGGGAGCAAAC
Molecule: ribosomal RNA, 441 nt
Filed under: uncultured bacterium
Lineage: Bacteria
Description: bacterial SSU rRNA
Rfam family: Bacterial small subunit ribosomal RNA
Source: RNAcentral